GCUCAAUGAUGAUAUAAAGGCUAAUGUGACUUGACCGGCUGGGUUGCGCCCUCAGCCCAUUCCAGUAAUACGGGUCUGUAAUCUUGGUGGACAACACUGAGCUGUGUGUGUUUGCUGUAAGGGCAGGCCGACAGAAAGUCCCCCUCCCUGCAUCCCUGGAAAAUAUAUCUCUGGGAUGCAUCAGCUCUGAGUGAGUGUUUCUGUGAGCUGAUGUGGGGCUGUGGGAAUAGGAUGGGAUAGCGUGUCCAAGGUUUGGAUUGCAGGGGGCAGCCCAUUUUACAGCCGGUGAGAUGUGAGCACACAUCUUUGGUAAUCUGAUGACU
RNAcentral lists this small nucleolar RNA (323 nucleotides) under Tyto alba (common barn owl). The record is from RNAcentral. Lineage: Eukaryota; Metazoa; Chordata; Aves; Strigiformes; Tytonidae.